Molecule: ribosomal RNA, 376 nt
Filed under: uncultured Bacillota bacterium
Lineage: Bacteria; Bacillati; Bacillota
Description: bacterial SSU rRNA
Rfam family: Bacterial small subunit ribosomal RNA
Source: RNAcentral
CGUUCGGAUACUGGGCGUAAGGGCGUGUAGGCGGGGGGACAAGUCAGAUGUGAAAUACUGCGGCUUAACUGCGGGGCUGCAUCUGAAACUGUUCUUCUUGAGUGUCGGAGAGGAAAGUGGAAUUCCCAGUGUAGCGGUGAAAUGCGUAGAUAUUGGGAGGAACACCAGUGGCGAAGGCGGCUUUCUGGACUACAACUGACGCUGAGGCGCGAAAGCUUGGGGAGCAAACAGGAUUAGAUACCCUGGUAGUCCCCGCCGUAAACGAUGGAUACUAGGUGUUGGAGGUAUCGACCCCUUCUGUGCCGGAUUUAACACAAUAAGUAUCCCCCCUGGGGAGUACGGCCGCAAGGUUGACUCUCAGUGGAAUUUGACGGGA